UGGGGAAUCUUGCACAAUGGAGGCAACUCUGAUGCAGCGACGCCGCGUGAGCGAUGAAGCCCUUCGGGGUGUAAAGCUCUUUCGACGGGAACGAUAAUGACGGUACCCGAAGAAGAAGCUGCGGCUAACUACGUGCCAGCAGCCGCGGUAAUACGUAGGCAGCAAGCGUUGUUCGGAAUUACUGGGCGUAAGGGGUGUGUAGGCGGUGCUCUAAGUCUGUUGUGAAAUCUCCCGGCUUAACUGGGAGGGUGCGGCGGAAACUGGAAUGCUAGAGUAUGGGAGAGGUAAGCGGAAUUCCUGGUGUAGCGGUGAAAUGCGUAGAUAUCAGGAGGAACACCUGUGGUGUAGACAGCUUACUGGACCAUGACUGACGCUGAGACACGAAAGCGUGGGUAGCAAACAGGAUUAGAUACCCUGGUAGUCCACGCCCUAAACGAUGCAUACUUGGUGUGAGCCAUUCAUUUGGUUCGUGCCGGAGCUAACGCGUUAAGUAUGCCGCCUGGGGAGUACGGUCGCAAGGC
This 521-nucleotide ribosomal RNA is filed under the name uncultured bacterium. RNAcentral describes it as "bacterial SSU rRNA". It matches the Rfam family "Bacterial small subunit ribosomal RNA", at positions 355 to 894 of the family's 1533-position model. The record is from RNAcentral.